UCUCUUUGUACUUCCUGUGGACUAGUCUGUUACUCAUGGGCAGUCCUUUAGGUGACAAUUAAUCAACCUUGGUUGGCAGAUGAGAAAAAUGAGACUCUGAGAGACCAGCCAACUAGCCACACAGCAGAACUCUCAGCACCACAUGACGUAAGAAUGGCAGCGGCUUCAGGCUGAGGGCAAUAGGUCUCCCAAGGGAGCAGCAGCAUGGAUGAUGAUAAAAAAACACUCUGCAGAACAUCUCCGAGCCUCUCCUUCAGUCCCCAGACUCCUCUCUGGCUUUCCUCAGCCCUCCCAUGGCUUGUUCUCUGGAUCAUGAUUGAAAUCAGGGGCCAGAAGCCAGAGAGCUACAGUCCUCAAAGUCCUCAAAUCCCCUGCGUGCCAAAGAGAGACACCGCCACAAGACCUGGUGUCUAGAAGAGAAACCUCAGCUGUAGUGCUACUCAUGGUCUGAGGGCAGAUGCGUGGGCUUCGGCAUCGGAGCUUCAGGCUCUUUCUGUGCUUUGAUUCCAGAGGCUCAGGUGUCUUGUGGUUUCAGCCACUCCCGACUUCCUAAAACUCAACAAGAAAUCUGAGCCAGCCCUUCCCAGCUUUGUAAAUAUCGAAUUCCCUGUAUUUAAUCACUCUUUCGGAGUGAGGCGCCUAUGUCCUGACUGGUGUGAGGCCUUGUCCAUGAUCAUAGUUUAUAACCUGCUUGCUUGUACUUAACAAGACAAAUCUAUUCAAGGGCCAUCGAGUAUUCAAGUUUGGGUGGUCACCUGCUAGCCAACAAUUAGGUUGUUUCCUGGUUUUGCUGUUAUGUCCACACAGUCAAGAACCACCCCCACAGUCCUCAGCUUGGCAAUGAAUCUGUAUGCAAGGUCAGAAGUAUUUACUCAGAACACAUUCUUGAAAUGCAAUGUUUUAGUUGAGAGAAGCUCACUCUUUGAAAGUGCUCAUGUCUAUUUCCAGAGAUGUCAUCUGUGUUUUCUCGUUUUGGCCUGUAGGACAUGAUUCUCUACUUUUUCUUCCAACUCUCUGGCUGUGCCGUCCCCAUUUCAGUGGCUUCUUCCUCCUCCACCAGUCCUAGGGAUAGAACCACUGUUCUACCUCUCAGUCAAGUGCUUUGUGUCCGAGCCACGUCUCCAGCCAACCUGGACUUUUCUCUCUAUUUCUUGGGCAUCGUGCAAACGAUGUUCCUGGUGAGAGCCCACGAUGAGCACCUGUACCUGCUGUUCAGUCUGCUCACUCAUCCAGAUGUCUACAAGUUGGGCUCCUUUGUCUUGUCAUAUGUCCUUGGGUGGGGACUUCUCUGACUCUCCUGUUUAACAUGGUAGUGUCUAGCAACCCUUUGUGUCCCAUUUCUGGUUUACCCAUAGUACCUAUCACUAUCUAUCUUCAGAAAACAGUGUCUACAAGCUCUAUGUUUAUUGAGUAUAGAUAUGAACUUGGGACAUUUUCUGAGCCUGCUGUUCCCCUUGUGCUAUUGAGAAGGCUCCAAUAUAGACUAAUUUCUCCUUCCCUCCCUCCUCUCUCCCCCUCCCUCCUUCUUUUCCUUUCCUUUCUUUAUUUCAUAUUUUAGGCAAGGUCUUGCCUAUAGCCCUGACUGGCCUGGAACUUGCUAUGUAGACAACCUGGCCUUGAUAACUCACAGUUAUCCUCCUGCCUCUGCCUCCCAAGGGCUAGGAUUACAGGUAUUUGCUAUCAUGCCUGGCUUCCAAUGUGAACUAUUUGUGAAGCAUAUUACAAUGUCACUUAACCUUAGGGGACUCUGGCCAGGGCAAAUGAUGGAAGGCAGAACGUAUCACUUCUCUGUGAACCUUCUGGUUGGUGAUCUGCUGUUGUUUUUAAUAUGUGAAACGAGGGAAAUAACAACCAUUACAUAGGGUUGUCGUUGGAAUUGCGUGAACUAACUCAUGAAAAUAAUCAUCAAGCAUCUGUCAUGUGUUAAUCAUUAAGUAACUGCAAGCCAGUUUAUUCUCACUUUGUAGUAGAG
This 1972-nucleotide long non-coding RNA is filed under the name Cricetulus griseus (Chinese hamster). Its description in RNAcentral is "lncRNA (ENSCGRG00015031097.1)". The record is from RNAcentral. Lineage: Eukaryota; Metazoa; Chordata; Mammalia; Rodentia; Cricetidae.